UACGGAGGAUGCAAGCGUUAUCCGGAAUGAUUGGGCGUAAAGCGUCCGCAGGUGGCAAUGUAAGUCUGCUGUUAAAGAGUCUAGCUCAACUAGAUAAAAGCAGUGGAAACUACAUAGCUAGAGUACGUUCGGGGCAGAGGGAAUUCCUGGUGUAGCGGUGAAAUGCGUAGAUAUCAGGAAGAACACCGGUGGCGAAAGCGCUCUGCUAGGCCGCAACUGACACUGAGGGACGAAAGCUAGGGGAGCGAAUGGG
This 253-nucleotide ribosomal RNA is filed under the name uncultured bacterium. RNAcentral describes it as "partial 16S ribosomal RNA". It matches the Rfam family "Bacterial small subunit ribosomal RNA", at positions 524 to 776 of the family's 1533-position model. The record is from RNAcentral.